GACGAACGCUGGCGGCGUGCUUAACACAUGCAAGUCGAACGAAGUGGCGAACGGGUGAGUAACGCGUAAUCAACCUGCCCUUCAGAGGGGGAACACAGUUGGAAACGACUGCUAAUACCGCCUACUGACGAAGGGGAUUGCGUCUGAUUAGCUAGUUGGAGGGGUAACGGCCCACCAAGGCGAUGAUCAGUAGCAUGUCUUGUAGGAUGAACGGCCAAAUUGGGACUGAGACACGGCCCAGACUCCUACGGGAGGCAGCAGUGGGGAAUCUUCCGAAAUGGAUGAAAGUCUGGCGGAGCAACGCCGCGUGAGUGAUGACGGCCUUCGGGUUGUAAAGCUCUGUUAAUCGGGACGCGGUACCGGAAUAGAAAGCCACGGCUAACUACGUGCCAGCAGCCGCGGUAAUAC
Molecule: ribosomal RNA, 408 nt
Filed under: uncultured bacterium
Lineage: Bacteria
Description: partial 16S ribosomal RNA
Rfam family: Bacterial small subunit ribosomal RNA
Source: RNAcentral